AACGCAUAUUGCACUCUUUGGUAUUCCAGGGAGUAUGCCUGUUUGAGAAUCACUUUACUCUUUUGACCUAAAGGAAACUUGUAAAAGUGGAAUGGUGGUCAAGAUUUGAACAAUGAGUUGUAUAACUCUUGUUUUAAAAUGAGUGUUUUUUAACUAUUGAUUCAAAAAGUUGAACCAUACGUUAUUACUGAGAGAGCUUGCUUUCUCUUUAUCGUAUGUUUAAACUUUAGAAGGAAUAGACUAAAAGACUUUAUUGAACUUUUUCUUUUAGAAAAAGACUUUAAGGAAUAUGAAUUCCUCAUCUUGAUCUCAAAUCAGGCAAGAGUACCCGCUGAACUUAA
This 341-nucleotide unclassified non-coding RNA is filed under the name uncultured fungus. RNAcentral describes it as "partial contains ITS1, 5.8S rRNA and ITS2". Lineage: Eukaryota; Fungi. The record is from RNAcentral.